RNAcentral lists this long non-coding RNA (467 nucleotides) under Elaeis guineensis (African oil palm). Its description in RNAcentral is "long non-coding RNA (EGUI_LNC073485)". The record is from RNAcentral. Lineage: Eukaryota; Viridiplantae; Streptophyta; Magnoliopsida; Arecales; Arecaceae.
CAUUCUUGUUGAGGCAGAGAACUGACUUGGACAUCGGAGGGUCUUGCCGGAGUAACCCCACCUCCGGUUUAGACUUCUUUUGCAGGUCUCGAUGGUGACCGUGACUCCAGCUUCUCCGACGUAAGCGAAUUUUUGCACCAACAGGAUUGGCGCUAGAGGAAGGGCCUGUGUCUUCACAGUACCCUUGUUCUUAAAGGGGCGCUCAACGGGACUGCCCCCGGGCAUCUUUUCCGACGUCCUCUCCUCCCUCCUUUACUUGGUCUUUGCCCGAUGCCUCCCCGCAAGGCGUCCACACGACGAUCCAUGGCCUCCGCGGCUAGAUCUCAGGCUCCAGCCUCACCUCCAGUUUCCCAACUUCCUCCUCCUCCUCCGGCGACGGCAGUCGGCGCGGAGUAAUUUGAUCUGCUGGCGGAGUAGGUCAGAGGCCUCACUGAGGCCAUGCAGCAGCAGCAGCAGCUGCAAGCAUC